This is a long non-coding RNA of Pezoporus occidentalis (night parrot), 513 nucleotides long. RefSeq lists it as uncharacterized. The record is from RefSeq and is a predicted model, not a curated record. The transcript has 3 exons. Lineage: Eukaryota; Metazoa; Chordata; Aves; Psittaciformes; Psittacidae.
CAAGGGGUGACAGACUUGCACCACUAACUCACUGUGAAGAGCAGCUCAACAGAUAUUCCAAAAAAAGAAGAGUUAUGCUACUAUGAAGUCCUUGGUGGAUGCAAUCAAGCACACAGCUCGGUGUGAGGAGAAGGUUCCAUGACGAAAACUGGUGCUCAUCGUAAAGGAUUCAUGCAGUUCGGGCUUGCUGCCGUGGCCGCGUGCAGCAGAAAGGAGGCGAGACGGGAAGGGUAGGUACAAAUCCUUAUUUUGCCUUCUUUCUACUGAAAGCAGAAGGUGCUGCUCUUGAGCUCCGUCUGGAUUGCUUUUGGGCCACACCGUGUGGUGGCGGUUCUUUAGGGAGCCAUGAUGGCCGCCGACCCCGGGUGAGGACUGGCCUCCCUCAGCCACGAAGCUGUUCCUGAGGCGGCGAACCCCCGCGGGGCUCGGCUCCUCCUUAGGGCUGGUCCCGCAGAGAUGAGGGGGAGAGAGAAAAAUAAAGCCCCAAAGAAGAUGAUUUAAUGUAUUCUGACC